Molecule: long non-coding RNA, 1283 nt
Organism: Onychostoma macrolepis
Lineage: Eukaryota; Metazoa; Chordata; Actinopteri; Cypriniformes; Cyprinidae
Exons: 3
Source: RefSeq, a predicted model, not a curated record
GUGUAAGUUCAAGUGUUCAGCAUUAUAUGUUUUUGCACUCUCUCUCACUCACUCGUUUGUUCUAAAUCUGUCCUUUUUGCAUUGGUUUCAGUUCAAAAUCAUGAAUAAUGUGGCUGCUGUAGCUUCAUUAUAAAGACACUCUCCUUCACCUGGGUGUUUAAAUGCUGAUUCCGGCAUCUUAAACACUGUAAUACACACAGGGAGACCAAGGAGGUCUAUAAUAGCUGGAGGGAGCUGUCCUUGGCUGUUACUCAGCAGGAAAUAUGGAGAUAACUCUGCUAACUUUUUUUUAGAGUACAGGUGGGAGGUGAAGAUGUUUUUUACCUGAGCCAUAAAUGCUAUUUGACUAUUCAUCCUGGAAAUGACAGUCCUGAUGACCAGGGGCGGUUCUAGGGGGGGGGCAGUGCCCCCCUGUCAACAAGUUUGGCCCCCCUAAAUUUUGAAUCAUAUCACAACAAACAAUUUUGCGUGAAAUGCGCAGUUUGUCCGGUAAACUAUACACUGUAAAAAAAAUUACAUUUUGAAAAAUUGAGGAAACAAAUAAACAUUGACUCAACAAAUUGCCCAAAAUUACCCCCAAACAAAAAAAUACAUUGUACUAAUUUUAGCUGAAGGUCUGAAGUUAAAAUUAAAAAUAUAUAUUCACCGAACAUAUUAAAUUGUGCUCAGCCAAUCUAUCAAAAAAGAAGUGAAAAAUCUGUGUUGGCCCAACAAGCCUUACAGCAAAAAACGCGUGUACGCAUGCGCCUGAGAGAAACCGUUGGCAGAUUUAAAUUCCUGUGCGCGAGAGAGCGGAGCCGAUGCUGAGGAACGACAAACAUCAAUUCCAGACGGAUUUUCCAUCAUUAAAGUUUUGUGUAACCCACCAUUGCUAGGUCUGAACUUACGAGGCACCAUUUAGUCAAACGUCAGAAGUAUUAUAAAGGAACCACUAUGAAUUUCACAAGUCACUGGAGAACCACACAACUGCAAUGAAAAUUGGAAUAGUAAGCAGCAGCAGUUGCACUUCAAGAGCCCUGUCAAGUGUGCUAAAUGUCUCCGUUGUCCUGGAAGAGGAGGUGGUGCUUGACAACUUAGGAGACUUCUUAAAUGCAUUUAUUGUACUCUUUGGAUUAUUGUAUGCACUCAACAUGGAGUACAACAAGGAUUUACAGUAAAAGGUUAGUUCACCCAAAACUGGAAAUUGUCAUUAAUUACUUACCCUCAUGUUGUACUCAAACCCGUAAACCUUCAGUCAUCUUCAGAACACAUAUUAAGAUAUUUUUGAUAAAUCCGAGAGCUCU